AUUGAACGCUGGAGGCGUGCUUAACACAUGCAAGUCGUGCGAGAAAGGGACUUCGGUCCUGAGUAGAGCGGCGCACGGGUGAGUAACGCGUGGGUGAUCUCCCUUGGUGACCGGGAUAAUAGCGGGAAACUGCUGCUAAUACCGGAUAAUCUUCAUGUUUAACUUCAUGGGGUAAAGGUGGCCUCUGCUUGCAAGCUACCACACCGAGAUGAGCCCGCGUCUCAUUAGCUAGUUGGUAGGGUAAUGGCCUACCAAGGCUACGAUGAGUAGCUGGUCUGAGAGGAUGACCAGCCACACUGGGACUGGAACACGGCCCAGACUCCUACGGGAGGCUG
This 335-nucleotide ribosomal RNA is filed under the name uncultured Pseudomonadota bacterium. RNAcentral's name for it is "bacterial SSU rRNA". It matches the Rfam family "Bacterial small subunit ribosomal RNA", at positions 30 to 351 of the family's 1533-position model. The record is from RNAcentral. Lineage: Bacteria; Pseudomonadati; Pseudomonadota.